AUUAAGUGAUCAUUACUUGAUUUUAUGAGUUGUUCAUGUUAUUACAAGUGAUAUGAGAGCACAUCAUCUAUCCUUGUAUAAAUGAAGGAAUUCUAACGUACCUGGUUCCUGGGCACCGUUUCUUCUGAACAGGCCAUGUGAAGUUAUAUACAACUAAUUUUUUUUCCCCAUAAGAAAACUGAGAAUAGAUAUCGGCCAAGAGAGUGUUAAUUACAUGUUUUCUGUUUCCAGAUAUAUAGAUCAAGGUCGAAACCCCCAACUCUACACCAAAGAGUGCCUGGAAAGAGCUCUGGCGAAAAAUGAACAAGUUAAAGGGAAGAUUGAUACGAUGAAGAAAUUUAAAAGCCUGUUGAUUCAAGAGCUUUCUAAAGUCUUUCCAGAAGAUAUGGCUAAGUACCGAAGCAUCCGAGGGGAGGACCAUCCCCCGUCGUAACUUUCUCUUCCAACAUCUAGUCCUGUGUGAAUCACCAUAACCUUCAGGCAGCUUGUGACUGAGCGGCCUCAGAGACAGGAGGCCUAGAGGACUUUGUAGAGCUGUGCUGCCAGCAGCCCCCUCUUUGCAGAGGGCUGGUGAGCGCACAUUUUUGAGCGCAAUGCAUUUGAUCCUGUAUGGCAGAAUUAUCUUGGAAAUAUUAAAUAACGGUAGGUAAAGUAAAGGGUUUAAAAAUAUUGCCUAAGACUUUUCUGUUUGUGUACUUCUCUUUUUCAUUUUAUUAUGAUGUCAAAGAAAGCUAAAACAAAGAAAAGGUUUAAUAUGAGAAAUACUGGAAUUGGUUUUGUAUUUUAUAUUUUCAAGUAUAAUGCAUAAAGAAUGUGUUUAAUGUGACUGUUUACGUGGAUUUCAGUUAGACAUAAGCAUAUAAUAAAGUCUUUUAAGUACUUAUAUGACUUACUCCAUGUAAUUAUUUUAUAACAUUUUUACAGUAUAGUGCAGUGCAUCUUGUAAACAGUUAUUACUUCCCUAAAGUGUGAAUAUUAUUCAUAAAAUUUGUUCUUCUGGAAGUGGAUCAUGGGAUUUACUCUUGUUCAAGGUUUCCAUGCUCAUUUUCUAGUGCCCUUAAGCUCUGAAAUAACGAGGUAUUAGUUUCAAAGGCAAAUGUUCAUCUAUGGGCAACAUCAGUAAUGUCCCUGGGUAGUUUAUUAUGUUAUCAAUUAAAAAUUAUGUGAAUGGCUUGUU
This is an RNA transcript of Myotis davidii, 1177 nucleotides long. RefSeq lists it as uncharacterized. NCBI's taxonomy places the organism in Eukaryota, Metazoa, Chordata, Mammalia, Chiroptera, Vespertilionidae. The transcript is spliced from 2 exons. The record is from RefSeq and is a predicted model, not a curated record.